RNAcentral lists this transfer RNA (61 nucleotides) under Reduvius gregoryi. RNAcentral describes it as "tRNA-Ala". The record is from RNAcentral. Lineage: Eukaryota; Metazoa; Arthropoda; Insecta; Hemiptera; Reduviidae.
GGGGAUGUAGUUAACAAUAAUAUUUAAUUUGCAAUUAAAAGAUACUUUCUAGUCUUCCUCA